This 506-nucleotide ribosomal RNA is filed under the name uncultured bacterium. Its description in RNAcentral is "partial 16S ribosomal RNA". It matches the Rfam family "Bacterial small subunit ribosomal RNA", at positions 28 to 523 of the family's 1533-position model. The record is from RNAcentral.
GAUGAACGCUAGCGGCAGGCCUAACACAUGCAAGUCGAGGGGCAGCACAUAAAGUGGUUUACUACUUUUGGUGGCGACCGGCGGACGGGUGCGUAACGCGUAUGCAACCUGCCGCCAACAGGGGGCUAACGGAGAGAAAUUUCCAAUAAUACCCCAGAAUAUCAGACUCGGCAUCGGGUUUGGUUGAAAACUCCGGUGGUUGGAGAUGGGCAUGCGUUGUAUUAGAUAGUUGGUGAGGUAACGGCUCACCAAGUCAACGAUAAAUAGGGGGACUGAGAGGUUAGCCCCCCACACUGGUACUGAGACACGGACCAGACUCCUACGGGAGGCAGCAGUGAGGAAUAUUGGGCAAUGGGGGCAAACCUGAACCAGCCAUGCCGCGUGCAGGAAGACGGCUCUAUGAGUUGUAAACUGCUUUUACAAGGGGAUAAAUCGGUGUACGUGUACACCGUUGAAGGUACCUUGGGAAUAAGGAUCGGCUAACUCCGUGCCAGCCGCCGCAGUAA